This 452-nucleotide ribosomal RNA is filed under the name uncultured bacterium. Its description in RNAcentral is "bacterial SSU rRNA". It matches the Rfam family "Bacterial small subunit ribosomal RNA", at positions 8 to 507 of the family's 1533-position model. The record is from RNAcentral.
AGAGUUUGAUCAUGGCUCAGAGCGAACGCUGGCGGCAGGCCUAACACAUGCAAGUCGAACGGAUCCUUCGGGAUUAGUGGCGGACGGGUGAGUAACACGUGGGAACGUGCCUUUGGUUCGGAACAACUCAGGGAAACUUGAGCUAAUACCGAAUGUGCCCUUCGGGGGAAAGAUUUAUCGCCAUUAGAGCGGCCCGCGUCUGAUUAGCUAGUUGGUGAGGUAAAGGCUCACCAAGGCUACGAUCAGUAGCUGGUCUGAGAGGAUGAUCAGCCACAUUGGGACUGAGACACGGCCCAAACUCCUACGGGAGGCAGCAGUGGGGAAUCUUGCGCAAUGGGCGAAAGCCUGACGCAGCCAUGCCGCGUGAAUGAUGAAGGUCUUAGGAUUGUAAAAUUCUUUCACCGGGGACGAUAAUGACGGCACCCGGAGAAGAAGCCCCGGCUAGCUUCGUG